AAAAAUAUAGUUUAAUAAAAACAUUUAAUUUGCACUUAAAAGAUAUUAUAUUUUUG
RNAcentral lists this transfer RNA (56 nucleotides) under Acerentomon microrhinus. Its description in RNAcentral is "tRNA-Ala". The record is from RNAcentral. Lineage: Eukaryota; Metazoa; Arthropoda; Protura; Acerentomata; Acerentomidae.